GAUGAACGCUGGCGGCGUGCUUAACACAUGCAAGUCGAACGGAAAGGCUCCUGCUUGCAGGGGUACUCGAGUGGCGAACGGGUGAGUAACACGUGGGUGAUCUGCCCUGCACUUCGGGAUAAGCCUGGGAAACUGGGUCUAAUACCGGAUAGGACGAUGGUUUGGAUGCCAUUGUGGAAAGUUUUUCGGUGUGGGAUGAGCUCGCGGCCUAUCAGCUUGUUUGUGGGGUAAUGGCCUACCAAGGCGUCGACGGGUAGCCGGCCUGAGAGGGUGUACGGCCACAUUGGGACUGAGAUACGGCCCAGACUCCUACGGGAGGCAGCAGUGGGGAAUAUUGCACAAUGGGCGCAAGCCUGAUGCAGCGACGCCGCGUGGGGGAUGACGGCCUUCGGGUUGUAAACUCCUUUCGCUAGGGACGAAGCGCAAGUGACGGUACCUGGAGAAGAAGCACCGGCUAACUACAUG
This 465-nucleotide ribosomal RNA is filed under the name uncultured bacterium. Its description in RNAcentral is "partial 16S ribosomal RNA". It matches the Rfam family "Bacterial small subunit ribosomal RNA", at positions 28 to 507 of the family's 1533-position model. The record is from RNAcentral.